AUUGAACGCUGGCGGCAGGCUUAACACAUGCAAGUCGAGCGGUAACAGAGAGAAGCUUGCUUCUCUGCUGACGAGCGGCGGACGGGUGAGUAAUGCCUAGGAAUCUGCCUAGUAGCGGGGGAUAACUUGCCGAAAGGUAAGCUAAUACCGCAUACGUCCUACGGGAGAAAGGAGGGGACCUUCGGGCCUUUCGCUAUUAGAUGAGCCUAGGUCGGAUUAGUUAGUUGGUGAGGUAAUUGCUCACCAAGACCGCGAUCCGUAACUGGUCUGAGAGGAUGACCAGUCACACGGGAACUGAGAAACGUGCCAGACUCCUACGGGAGGCAGCAGUGGGGAAUAUUGGACAAUGGGGGGAACCCUGAUCCAGCCAUGCCGCGUGUGUGAAGAAGGUCUUAGGAUUGUAAAGCACUUUAAGUUGGGAGGAAGAGCAGUUAACUAAUAUUUGACUGUUUUGACGUUACCGACAGAAUAAGCACCGGCUAACUUCGUGCCAGCCGCCGCCGUAA
Molecule: ribosomal RNA, 506 nt
Filed under: uncultured bacterium
Lineage: Bacteria
Description: partial 16S ribosomal RNA
Rfam family: Bacterial small subunit ribosomal RNA
Source: RNAcentral